This 551-nucleotide ribosomal RNA is filed under the name uncultured bacterium. RNAcentral describes it as "bacterial SSU rRNA". It matches the Rfam family "Bacterial small subunit ribosomal RNA", at positions 355 to 896 of the family's 1533-position model. The record is from RNAcentral.
UGGGGAAUCUUGCGCAAUGGGGGAAACCUUGACGCAGCAACGCCGCGUGGGUGAUGAAGGCCUUCGGGUCGUAAAGCCCUGUCAGGUGGGAAGAAACGUAUCGGUGUUAAUACCGCCGAUAUUUGACGGCACCACCGGAGGAAGCACCGGCUAACUCCGUGCCAGCAGCCGCGGUAAUACGGAGGGUGCAAGCGUUGUUCGGAAUUACUGGGCGUAAAGCGCGUGUAGGCGGUCGGGCAAGUUAGAUGUGAAAGCCUUCCGCUUAACGGAAGAAGUGCAUUUAAUACUACCCGGCUGGAGUACGGGAGAGGGGAGUGGAAUUCCCGGUGUAGAGGUGAAAUUCGUAGAUAUCGGGAGGAACACCAGUGGCGAAGGCGGCUCUCUGGUCCGAUACUGACGCUGAGACGCGAAAGCGUGGGGAGCGAACAGGAUUAGAUACCCUGGUAGUCCACGCCGUAAACGAUGGGCACUAGGUGUAGGAGGUAUUGACCCCUUCUGUGCCGAAGUUAACGCAUUAAGUGCCCCGCCUGGGGAGUACGACCGCAAGGUUA